GUGGUGGUGGACACGGAUGAAGGCGAAGACGUAAACCGCACGCGUGGUUGCCAGCGUCGGCGACACGGCACUGGUCGUUUUGCUCCGAUCGGCCGGAUCUGCUCCGGUGUGAGUCAUUUAGCUGUUGGCUGUGGCUAGGUGCGCAAGUGCUCGCUCGGUUCGAUCCGACCGCAGGUAGACGGUGUCAGUCAGUUAAGUGCUGUGAACGAACCAAGGGACAAAGGAGCAGAGACCUCCUGCCUCGUACGCGGGAUCCGGCUCAAGCGUUCAGUAGUGUGCUGUCGUCGCGCGCUGCCCACACGGCUGCUUCUGUGCGUUCCACCAACGAGAGCGACGAGCGCUUGUUGGGAACACUUUAGUGCAUUAUCCUUGUAGAGACGAUCGCUCUCCCUCUGAGCUCGGUUGGUUAGGUUAGAAAAAGCGGAAGUGUAUCGAAAAUCGCCCGGCAUUUCAAAAGUGAUGAAAUAGUACGUAAGCAAGCUUUAGGGUCGUUAGGUGAUAGAAGCCCAGGAAAGGAAGCAAAGGUAUGAAACGCUUAUUAAGUGUUCGGCAAAAGAUAAUUAUAAUUCUUAUUAAUGAUCAAGUUUUGUAACAAAUAGGGAGUUUUUCGGGAAGCUUUUUCUCAACCACGAGGCUAGAAUAACUUGCCAAAUGUGUGUAAAUUAGAGCGUUCGCAUCAUCACCACUAACACACACACCAUCUUGCUUCCUAUAGUUGUGCGGUGUGUUAGAAUGAUCCCCGCGAUCUAUUCUUCAUUUGCGCGGCCAUUUUCAAACGCGCGUGAUGGUGGUGCGUCUGUUUGUCCUACGUAUUAGCGCGCCAUUUCCCGAUUCCGAUCGUCGAACCAGUGCAGCUGUUGUUUUUGGCUCUUUUUCUUUCUCGGACCGUUUGCUAGGGAAUAGGCUGGGGAAGCUACGAGAAGCUGGUGAGUGUGUGUGUGUAUGGGUCGCCUGGUCGGAUAGCUAAAACAAUAAUAAGCGUACAGCGACGAGAGCAGCACCCCCCAAAAAAGAGCACUUGCCUUGUACGUCAUUAGAUGUGGUCAAGAGGGGCCUAGGUCAGCUUAAGUUGCUGCAAGCGUUAGGCGUAUCGGAACUUGAAGAGGGCGAAAGAGAGAGAGAGAGAAAUCGAGAGCUUCUAAAAACGGCUACCAUCUCUGAGCGUUAGGUACUUCCCCCCCCCCCCCGCCCUGCGUUUCGUUUGGAUAAACUAUUUGUUCUAUCUCACCGUGUAAAAAAUGGCCGGAUGAGAUAGGCCAGCAGAGGCCGACCGAAACGCGGUUUCAAGCGACUCGAAAAUGUGUUGAUUUCCACUUCCUUCAUCCGUAACCCAUCGGCACAAACGCACACACAGCACGGGGGAAGAAACACGGUCAAGCGUGCGGUUGUGGCCUUAGGAAGCAGGGCAGGAAGGGAGGGAGGGAGGGAGAGCGAGUGAGGCAGAAAGGCAGGAAGCUGGUAACCAAAAUGUGAGUUUUACGCUCGAACACAUCACCACGAUCGGCCGCUUCGAUGGUUGGCCAAGUCUGCCAAGCAGCGUGAGGCGCUCGCCAACCGGAGGAGGAACACACAAAACUUCGGCAGUACGUACACCACCACCCUCCAUUAGCACCCAAAAAGGUGUGUUCCGGUUUGAGGAGCUAACGAUCACUGCAGGUAGCUUCGAUCGAGUGUGGUCUAAUGAGAAGCUUUGCCAUACGCAUGUGUGUGUGUUGUGAAUACAAAAAAAAGCGCCUCAUUACAUCUUCGUGAUUUACUCACACAAGCAUUCCCGGCGGUAUUCGUUCUUCGCGUUCCUCUAACCCGGAUGUUUUGUACCGGACGCAUGGUGUGUGUGUGUUGUAAGAUUGCAAAGUGAUCGUUCCAUAAAAGGAAGAACAAGUUUUCAAUUCACUCGCUCCCCUAUAUUUCUGUUGAUCUUUAAUUUACAUACUAAGCUGCGAAUGUGCAAAGUAGCAUUACAGAGCGCUUGUCGGUGGUGAUACGAAGCGAAAUGAGGAUUAUUAUUUUAAAACAAUUUUCUAAAUCAAAAUCUCUCUAUCGUUUUAGGUGAAAUCGUUGUAAGGAUCAACACCAUCUAUAAUUAAUUUGGAAAGCAACCCCUGAGGGGGAGGAAAAAGCCAAUUUUUCGCGUCUGGUUCUGGUUCGCCAACACCACCACCAUCACCCCUACUCUACCGUGUCUGAUUUUACGCGUCAAUUUAUAUUUGCUUUUAUCGCGACACAACAAAAAAAAAACCUUCAGCAGAAGUAACAUUCAGCGUAGCGUCGUGUGGUACAAGCGAUUGCGCGGCCCCGGCUAUGGAUGAUAAGUGUGUUCGAAAGACGCAUCGAGAGCACGUGGAGGGCUUGGUUUUUAUCAGUUUGACAAGGGUUUUUUUUUUCUUCCUUCCUCCCAACCUUCCAGUGUACUUUUUCUACACACGCACACCGCAUCCAUCGGGAGAGAGCGAACUCGCGAGCGCGCGCGCGAUCGUAUCAGCAGAAUGUGGGGGUGAAACGGCGGCUGGAAUGGGGCUGGAGAAUAUUGAUUAGAGACAACACGGCGGUGGUAAUGUUGUUGAGCGCGAUAAGACGAACCAACGACGACGACGACGACGAUGUGUUCAAUAUCUAUCGGUUCUCUGCCUCCGUGGUUGGUUGUGAGUGUACUUCAACGUACGUACAACACACACACACGCACAGGUCCGAGUUAGAUGGGAGACGGUUUUGGCAACGUGUCCACCGCACGUUCCGAUCCAGACGCGCUCGAGCGACGGAUGCGAAAACCGGUAACACUCUAUUAACACUUAUUGACUAAUUCCUGCAUAGUGCGCUGGUGAGACACAGUGGGAUCGUAUCAGAUCGUACCAUCCAAGAGUUGUAGCGUGUGCAUGAUAGUUCACCUUUCUCAAGUGAUUCUCGAGCGAACGAAAAUCGUUGUUGUUCUAAUCGUCUUGAUCGCCGAUUCCGUUCAGCUGCAGCUUGUCGAUAAAUUGAAAUGUAAAUAUUGAUACAAAUUGGCACCAACCGAGAGAGGGAGAGAGAGGGAUCGACCUUCUGAUCCGUCCAUCCGUUCACCCCGGUAAGUUCUCAUCGUGUGAUCAUCAUCCCUCGAACGGAUGGACACAAAUCUCAACAGCGAGCUAGCCGGAGGACUACACCAAUCGGUCGCUGAAUUACCGAUCACUGUAACCGCUUUUUUCGUCAAUGUUCUCUUUGGUUAUCUAGCUGUAUGAGUGUACUUUAAACGUCAUAAAGCUAGCAUACCGAAGUUAAUAAUUGACUGAUACUCAUCGAUGGGUGGCGAGAGCGCAAACAUGAUGGAUGCUACUUAGACCCGUACAGUGUGUGUAUGUGUGUGUGUGAAGUGUGUGCGUUUAUUCGUGGCGUUUUAUACUAAGAGGAAGGUUUAGCUUAAAGUAACGUUUAAGACAGAUGAAGUUGCACUGUUCUAGUGGAGUUCUUUCAUACGUAAAUUGAUUCGAUUCCUCUACGCGGUAGGAGAGUUAUAAGCAAAAUGGAUCAAAAUAGGUGAUAUUCAGGCCGCUCCGCACAGGAACGGGGGUAUUGGGUGUAUGACCUAAGAAUAACUAUAUCGUCAAGGUUAUCGUUUUUCUCUAAGGAAAACUGAAAACCACAUAAAUAUUCAUCCGAAUAAGCCUAAUGACGGUUGACGGAUCGUUUCAGUAGCUCCAUGAUUAAAUUGUUUCUUACUGAUCCCACCAAUUAAUGUACAGAGUACUACCAGCCUGGCAUGAAUAUAACUGGAAAAAUAUUAUAAAUAUUUGGAUAUGGAUACAAUGGUGCAAGGAAUAUACUCGAGAGAUUUCACGCAAAUACUGUUAUGCUAUUGAGGGAUGUCCGGCUACACUUUGUCCGAAAAAGGUAACAACAUUCAUCUAUUACCUUACCUCUUUUAGGAUAAGGACUGGUUCAUGUCCUGACGUGAUCUUCCGUCACUGUAGAUAUAUUGGUGAGAAUGCGUGACCACAAUUCCACCUCCAAUAUAGGAUCUGCAUUGUUUUCAGGUGCAGGGAAACAUACCACGAUGUUAGUAAAGCUAUUGCACAGAUUAUUGAAAUAAAAUAUUACAAGGGGCUGGUUAUUGAUGUAUGUUCGAAGAAGUUCGCAGAUAGUUAGCCGGAAUUGUUGAAUAAAUAAUAUAAACUAGCUGA
Anopheles stephensi (Asian malaria mosquito) is the source of this 4157-nucleotide long non-coding RNA. RefSeq lists it as uncharacterized. The record is from RefSeq and is a predicted model, not a curated record. The transcript has 2 exons. NCBI's taxonomy places the organism in Eukaryota, Metazoa, Arthropoda, Insecta, Diptera, Culicidae.